CCCUUAGAUGUUCUGGGCCGCACGCGCGCUACACUGUUCGACGCAGCGAGUCUUAACCUUGACCGAAAGGUUUGGGUAAUCUUCAGCAAAGUCGAACGUGAUGGGGAUCGAUCAUUGCAAUUAUUGAUCGUGAACGAGGAAUUCCUAGUAAGCACAAGUCAUCAGCUUGUGUUGAUUACGUCCCUGCCCUUUGUACACACCGCCCGUCGCUCCUACCGAUUGAAUGUUCCGGUGAGCUCUUCGGACUGCGCGGUCUGCAGUUUCUGCGUUCCGUGCGGAAAGUUGCGCAAACCUUAACAUUUAGAGGAAGGAGAAGUCGUAACA
Molecule: ribosomal RNA, 324 nt
Filed under: uncultured eukaryote
Lineage: Eukaryota
Description: partial 18S ribosomal RNA
Rfam family: Eukaryotic small subunit ribosomal RNA
Source: RNAcentral